CCAGACUCCUACGGGAGGCAGCAGUGGGGAAUAUUGCACAAUGGGGGGAACCCUGAUGCAGCGACGCCGCGUGGGCGAGGAAGUAUUUCGGUAUGUAAAGCCCUAUCGGCAGGGAAGAAGAAAUGACGGUACCUGAAUAAGAAGCACCGGCUAAAUACGUGCCAGCAGCCGCGGUAAUACGUAGGGGGCAAGCGUUAUCCGGAUUUACUGGGUGUAAAGGGGGCGCAGACGGCGAUGCAAGCCAGGAGUGAAAGCCCGGGGCCCAACCCCGGGACUGCUCUUGGAACUGCGUGGCUGGAGUGCAGGAGGGGCAGGCGGAAUUCCUGGUGUAGCGGUGAAAUGCGUAGAUAUCAGGAGGAACACCGGUGGCGAAGGCGGCCUGCUGGACUGCAACUGACGUUGAGGCCCGAAAGCGUGGGGAGCAAACAGGAUUAGAUACCCCCGUAA
RNAcentral lists this ribosomal RNA (447 nucleotides) under uncultured bacterium. RNAcentral's name for it is "partial 16S ribosomal RNA". It matches the Rfam family "Bacterial small subunit ribosomal RNA", at positions 331 to 793 of the family's 1533-position model. The record is from RNAcentral.